Long non-coding RNA from Suricata suricatta (meerkat), 535 nucleotides. RefSeq lists it as uncharacterized. The record is from RefSeq and is a predicted model, not a curated record. The transcript is spliced from 3 exons. Lineage: Eukaryota; Metazoa; Chordata; Mammalia; Carnivora; Herpestidae.
AAAUGGAGAACACGUUCGGCCCUUCGUGUGUCACAAGACUCAGUGAAUCACGAGUCUCCUCACCAACGUGAGCUUUUUGAAGUCCUAGCCCCAAAGAAAUCACCAAAUUGGACUCAUCAAAGCACCUAUCUGUAGGCAGCUCUACAAAAAUCAAUGAUACCACCUUGGGUCUUUGUAAGCCGCCCCGGGAGUGGAUGAACAGGAAGUGAACCACACUCGACACGGCUCGGUGAGCAAACCACCUCUUACUGAAACCUGCAUCCUCACAGAGGAACUACUGGGUAAGAAGUAGUUUUAUUGUUUCUGUUCACCCGGGAGUACCAGGCCGGACCAUCAGGCACUUAUUAACCAAUCAGAGGUUGUUUUGAGAGGUUAAUGAGGUCUACUGGAAUUCUGGCUCUUCUACUUGCCAUUCUGACGUGUUUUUUAAAGGAAAGUAUCUCACGGAAACCAAUGUGUGUUAUGGCAAGAAACUGAACUAAAAAAGGAGUUUUUUGGGGCGCCUGGGUGGCUCAGUCAGAUCUCAUGUUCGUGG